This 1230-nucleotide ribosomal RNA is filed under the name Triticum aestivum (bread wheat). Its description in RNAcentral is "partial small subunit ribosomal RNA". The record is from RNAcentral. Lineage: Eukaryota; Viridiplantae; Streptophyta; Magnoliopsida; Poales; Poaceae.
AUGGAAUGCACCUACUGUAGACUAUGGCAACCAAACACGCCCCAAACGUGUUCCAUCGGUGGGAAGGUAGCUGACUCACUGAAGACGUGGUCAGUCUUCACUGCCGCUCCGAAGCCUGAACCCUCUCUUCCCCGGCGGCGCGCGGCACCCUCCCGGCGAGGCGAGUCGCCGGAGCCCGCUCCCCCUCCUCCUCCCCCGGCUCCGUCUGGAUGGCUCCCCAGGUUGUUUAGACCGGCGGCCUGCGGCGGCGGCGGGGCGAGGCUGAGCGCCGGAUCCAGCAUGGAGAGAGCGGGGCUCCUCGCGCCGUUCCCCCCGAGGGCGCGGGCCACGGCCAGGGUCUGCAUGGUCUCGAGCUUCGCCACGGAGUUGCUCGAGAUAAGAUCCAGGGAGCCGUCCCCGUCGCUUCACGUUCUGGUCGUCCCUGGCAAUCCAGGUAUUGUUGGAUUCUACAAGGACUUUGUCGAAGCCCUCUACGAAAACCUCGGCGGGCAGGCAUCUGUUACGGCGAUAGGGCACAUUUCACAUGGGCAGAAGGAUUACGAGCACGGACGAUUGUUUUCAUUACACGAACAGAUUGAGCACAAGAUUGAUUUUCUUGAGCAAGAGCUUCUACAUACCGAACAGUCCAUAAUUGUGGUGGGUCAUUCUAUUGGCGCGUACAUAGGUCUGGAAAUAUGCAAAAGGUUCCAGAAGAAGGUAAAAUUUUUUUUAGGGCUUUAUCCAUUUUUGACAUUGAACAAGAAUGCUAUGAAGCAAUCAGCAAUUGGAUAUGUUGCAAGGUCAUCUCUCCUUAGUAAAGGCGUUAGUUUGUUAGCGUCUUUCAUCGGCUCACUCCAGGCUUCAGUUACGAGGAGCAUUGUGAAAAGGUUCCUUGGAUCUUCUUGGUCUGCAACAGCCAUUGAUGCUGGAUGUAGCCAUCUCUUGCAGUACCAUACGAUGCGCAAUGUGCUUUUCAUGGCAAAGACAGAGUUCCAAAAGCUUAAUGAAGAGCCGGACUGGAAUUUCAUCAGAGCAAAACAGGCUCAAAUUGCUUUUCUGUUCGGUGUGGAUGAUCACUGGGGUCCACUGACUCACUUGGAAGAGAUCUCAAAGCAUGCUCCGAGGGUUGCCUUGUCGAUCGAGAAAGAAGGUCACACACACGGCUACUGCUGCACAGAGGCUGGAUCUUUCUGGGUUGCUGACUACGCCGCGAACUUGAUUAAAAACCAAAUGCUCGUCGGAGAUAGCUGA